This 497-nucleotide ribosomal RNA is filed under the name uncultured bacterium. RNAcentral describes it as "partial 16S ribosomal RNA". It matches the Rfam family "Bacterial small subunit ribosomal RNA", at positions 28 to 507 of the family's 1533-position model. The record is from RNAcentral.
GAUGAACGCUGGCGGCGUGCCUAAUACAUGCAAGUCGAGCGAACGGACGAGAAGCUUGCUUCUCUGACGUUAGCGGCGGACGGGAGAGUAACACGUGGAUAACCUACCUAUAAGACUGGGAUAACUUCGGGAAACCGGAGCUAAUACCGGAGAAUAUUUUGAACCGCAUGGUUCAAAAGUGAAAGACGGUCUUGCUGUCACUUAUAGAUGGAUCCGCGCUGCAUGAGCUGGUUGGUAAGGUAACGGCUUACCAAGGCAACGAUGCAUAGCCGACCGGAGAGGGUGAUCGGCCACCCUGGAACUGAGCCGCGCUCCUGACUCCUGCGGUAGGGAGCAGUAGGGAAUCUUCCGCAACGGUCGAAAGCCUGACGGAGCAACGCCGCGUGAGUGAUGAAGGUCUUCGGAUCGUAAAACUCUGUUAUUAGGGAAGAACAUAUGUGUAAGUAACUGUGCACAUCUUGACGGUACCUAGUCAGAAAGCCACGGCUAACUACGUG